Molecule: RNA transcript, 3382 nt
Organism: Clupea harengus (Atlantic herring)
Lineage: Eukaryota; Metazoa; Chordata; Actinopteri; Clupeiformes; Clupeidae
Gene: zdhhc2
Gene name: zDHHC palmitoyltransferase 2
Source: RefSeq, a predicted model, not a curated record
GAGACUCGUCGACGCACCGCAGAUCAGGCGACUAGACGAGUGGUCGGACUUCAACAUGAACUAACGUCAAUUGCACGUUGUGCAUCAACAAAUAAUGCAGUGACAAUAGGAACAACUAAUAUAGGCCAGAUUUGGUCUUGUAAGAAGAUGGCGCCGUCUGGUUCGCGCAGUAUUAAAAGAAGCUGUAAGAGAGUUUUACACUGGAUCCCGGUUUUAUUCAUCUCCAUAAUUGUGGCAUGGUCUUACUACGCCUAUGUUGUCCAGCUUUGUAUUGAAUCAGUUGAAAAUCUUGGAGAGAAAAUUGUUUACCUCCUGGCAUAUCAUUUAUUUUUCAUCAUGUUUGUGUGGGCAUAUUGGCAAACUAUCUUCACCGAACCCAUGCAUCCCCUGAAAGAGUUCCAUCUGUCAUAUUCGGACAAAGAGCUGUUGGAACGAGUGGACCGAGGAGAGUCUCAGCAGGAGAUUUUGAGGAGGAUUGUCCGACAGGAUUUACCCGUCUACACGCGCACAAUGUCAGGAGCUAUUCGUUUUUGUGAUCGCUGCAUUUUGGUGAAGCCAGACCGCUGUCAUCACUGCUCAGUCUGUGAUAAGUGUAUCUUGAAGAUGGAUCACCACUGUCCAUGGGUGAAUAAUUGUGUCGGCUUCUCCAACUACAAGUUUUUCAUGCUGUUUCUAGCAUACUCUUUACUCUAUUGCCUUUUCAUCACUGCAACGGACCUGCAGUACUUCAUCAAAUUCUGGUUGGCCGGGGGUAAAGCACAUGAACGACUAAAGGAAUAUUUGAGUGGCCUGCCAGACACCCAGGCCAAGUUCCACAUUAUGUUCUUGUUCUUCGCUGCCUCUAUGUUCUCUGUCAGUCUGGCAGCACUGUUUGCCUACCACUGCUGGCUAGUUUGUAAAAACAGAUCAACUCUCGAGGCUGUUCGGGCCCCUGCAUUCCGUCAUGGACCUGAUAAAAACGGCUUCAGCUUGGGCCUCAGCAAGAAUGUCCGCCAGGUCUUUGGCGAUGAGAAGACGUAUUGGCCAAUACCCGUUUUUUCAAGUUUAGGAGAUGGCUGCUCCUUCCCUACCUGUCUUGUAAACCAGGACCCUGAACAGCCUUCUACGCCCCCUGUCCAAAGCCCACCCAACAAAAGUGUGGGAGAGCCCCCUCAGUUCCCUGCCAAGCCCCUGAGAGAGUCUCAGAGUCGGCUGCUCAACAGUGGAGAGUCAUGGCGGGAGAGCAAAGGACCUGGGGACAGAGAGCGGACUGGUGAGACGACAGCAGCCGGAUAUCCACCCGUUGGCCUUUAUGGAGCCUGUCGGACAUAGAGCUUAGCUUACUGAAUGCUGAUGUACACCAAAUCCAGCUCUGACUAUAGAAAAUGAAUUGUAGAUGGAAAAUGUGAAGAUUUUUCUUGAGAAAGAAGAGGUCCCUGUAAAUGGACAGAACAGGAGGUCUUCUGAGUGCCUACACGGAUGUGUUGGCCGUGGUAAUGAUCUGUACUGUUAUCCACAAGCUUUGUACAAGUUGCUUCAGUACAACGCACCCUGCAAGGGGCUGUUUCUGCCACCAGAGCUUAUCGACAACCGUGCUUGAAUUUGCUCUAUGAAUUUUGUGUCCUUACAGAAAUCUGAAGACCAGAUGUUUUCUGUCAGAGAGUAAAGUGUGUUUAUUAACACAGCUAUUCUGAAUGCCUAGGACAGACGUAUGUUAAUGCAUGUACUUCAUUUUGAUGUAUUUUAUGUAUGUUCAAGUACAAACUGUCAGAAGGGCUGGAAAGUUGUCUUUUAAGGGUAUGUGGAGGGAAACUUAAACUCCCAGUGAUGGAGUGUUUGGUAACCUUGUUAAUUUCAUGAAAUCAGGGUUGGUCAUGUGUUUCAGCUAAUGCAAAAAACAACAUUUGUGAUUACAAAAGCACAGUAGACCACUAGAUUGAUGCUCGUGUCCUGCAUAUAAUACAAAUUACUUCCUAAAGGUCCUAAGGCUGUCACUGUUCUCUGUGGCGCCUCCUAGCUGUCAGCACGGGACAUGUACAUUUACAAAGGACAUCAGAGGAUACCGACCAGUGCUCUCGCCUUUUUAAAUCCUUACAAAUAGGCAGGAAGGAGAAGAUUAGGUCAUUUUGAAUGUCUUACAAGAUAGUUUUUUUUACUAUUGACAGGUGUGAGAGUGUGUAUUGAGUAAUAAGGGAGACACAGGGUUGACAUUACAGGAGAAUUCCCCCACAUUUUCAAACUGUCUGUGAUGCUCCACUAUUUAACGUCUGAUCAUAUGCAUCAAAAGUAUUUUGAAGCAAAUCUGAAUAUUCCUUAAGAACUUAAUUGUUCCACAAUUGUUUUUUACAUUAAACAUGGGAGGGCAGUUACCAUAGCAACAUACACCAGAAACUGCUGGCUAGGGGUAGCCUAUAUAUCAUUGGUUUGCUAACUUUUACACAACUAUCAAAAACAGAUAUAGCAGGAUAUAAUCCUGUGAAACAAUCUAAGGCUACCGUUAGCAUAUUCAUAACCAUUCCACAUAGGAACUGGCUGACAUGAAGCUUUUAGAGGUUCGAUUACUCUGGGAUCCAUGUCCAGUUCACAGAGUGAAUAAACAGGUCCACAACGCUCCUAUCAGCUUCAAAGUACAAUUGAUACAAUUCUACAGCAGUCAGUUGACAUACCACUGAAGUGAAAAGUAUGUAUCUGUGGCCCUAGUUCUUUUGUACAUUUCAGUAUUUUUGUAAUUCAAAUGUUUACUGUGCCAUGUCUGGUUUACUUGUUGCAAUGGCAAAUAUAUUUGAAAUUUUUCGUUUGAAGAAUGUUAGUAAUUAUUAUAUGCUUGAUGAAUUAAACAUAAUUGAAUACAUAUGAAUGAUUGCUAUUGCGUAAAAACUUCUAAGUCUUGUACUUGAUCCCCCUAUAAUUUUAACCCUGCUCUAAGGAAUACAAAUACCUUCACAGCAAAAAUGACUCCUCUCCACUGACUCCUGAUACCACCUGUUACUAGAGAAGUCAACUAACUCAAACAGCAAAUGACUGAAUCCUCUGAAUUGAGGACCAUAUUGUCUUUGAAUAUUUUCUAUGACACUGAAUACAAACUCUUUGAAAAUGUUAUUACAUGUAAAUGCAGAGUGCACUUUUCAAAUAGUUUUUUGGGCUAAUUGUAUGGAUUGUUCUAGCAAAUGUGCAUUGUAAUGUAUUUGUAUGAACAAUGUUCUUUUGUUACUAACAAAAGUUCCACAGCAUAUUGCAAAGCUUUGUCUCUGUAUAUGUAAAAAAAAAAAAAUACAAUGUCUUAUCUACAGAUGUAUUGCUUGUUUUAGUAUGGUAACAGCAUACAGCAACUUGCACUUGCAUAUUUCAUUCUUGAAUACACCAAAACCUUUGGAUAUAUGAUGAAGUAAACAUCUGAGGUGUU